Molecule: ribosomal RNA, 1594 nt
Filed under: Triticum aestivum (bread wheat)
Lineage: Eukaryota; Viridiplantae; Streptophyta; Magnoliopsida; Poales; Poaceae
Description: partial small subunit ribosomal RNA
Source: RNAcentral
UACCUAUUCCGCGACCAGAUGCUUUGGUCUCUAAGACCCAAGCUAGGGGUCGCCUCAGCUAAGGAAAAAGAAAAAGAAAACGAGGACGGCGGUAAAAAAGUAAAAAAAACGACCCACUUCGCCUCUUCUGCUCUCCUCUACCGCCGCUUCCUCCGGCUACCCCUGGUGAAGUAGCUCUACCACAGCCGCCCACGCGAAAUGGCGCCGCCGCUUACCCUCGCGUUCAUGACCUCGACGAGUUCCCCGUUCCUAGCGGUGGGCAUGGGCCACCCGAUAGUGCGGCAGGCGGUAAAGAGGCCCUAUAGCAUGCGGUACCUCUAGGUCGUUCCUGGGUCUCCCGGACAUAAGGUCCAGUGUAGGUGGCUCCCUCUAACGCGCUGUCCCGUCUGUGGCCUGUAUCGAACCUUCUUGAAGGUAUUCUUCUGUCCCCGGUUUCAGUCCCUGACCGUCUCCCGCCCCUCGAAGGGAGUCUUCUAACUGCCGCAGCUCCGUACGAGAAGUAUAGGUAAAUAAAUCAAUGGACUUGGACACGUAACGUUACUUUUACAAGGAAGGAUCAAGCGAAAAGGGUCCUUCGAGUACCGGCUCCCGUAACGGGUAGGGGGACAUGUGAAAGACAUCUUGGUGUAUCUGCAAAUUGUUCAAUAUCUACCAAACGAUAGUGAGUGUAGUCUUAGAUGACCAUACUGAUGUUCACCUUGGAUAAAGAACUACAUACUGUUCUUCCCUUGAUACAUCUGUCUGUUUGUUUGUGAAACCACGAUCGUUAACUCAUGAUAUCGAGGUCCCGGGACAGUGCAAGUGUCACAAUAUAGUAAACUUAGGUCUAUCAACAAGGUUGUCCUCAGUCGUUGGACGUCACUUAGUUAUAUUUCGUCUGGUACUGGUAACGAUAAGAACUAAGAACAAUGUGAAAAGUUAUCUGGUAUUGACGCACGGAAGUUGUGACAAAUAGUAUCGGUCUAAUAUUUACAAACUAAAACGUCAACAGAACACGUCGAAAAACCCAAUUUUUUACGUAGACAAGUCUCUGACGAAGCAGUCGAAGAUCAUCUAAGCUGACCUAAACCUUAUCUGUACGGAAGAGGUUUUUAAAUACCACGACGAAGUGGCAGCUCGUCUUUGGCACUAUCAUGUUUCAGUACGUCACUACUGGACAAAGUCUUGUCAACAGAAAACGGCAGACCAUUUUAAAACCACCGUCGGCAACUAACCACUUUUAUUUCACAGUCCAUUACAACGUGGCCAUCGGUUCCGGUGUAAGACCAUCACAGUACACAGACAUCACUAGACUAUCGUACACACCCAACCGGUUCAACAGAGAUGACGGACGAGGGAGACCAUAAUCGUACAAAAGUCAAGACCAUUUUGACAACAACCUAGAGAGAUUGUCUCGGAUCAUUCGAUAUCUAAAAUCUUUCCUUAAAACUACGAAGGAAGUCCACGUUUUGCGAGGUACCUAAACUCUCAUUCCUAGCCAGUUACUUCGUCUAAUACGACGACUAGUUACGGCCGUUUAACUGUCGAACGCAUGUCAAGUAUAAGAACAAAUUUCGUACUCUUAGUAUUAAAACACAAAAAGCAAGCCGUCGUC